GGGUGAAAUUGGAAAAACGGUAAAGAUACCGUAAAGGAAUUCUAAGACGAGAAGACCCCAUUGAGCUUUACUAUUAACUUGUAUUGCCGAAGCAAAAGAACUGAACGCUAAUAGAAUUGAGUAGACUAAGUGGUAUUCAAGCAGGCAACCAAGGGUUAUAGGUUUAGCCGACCCCGACCCUUACCUACCCUCGAGGUCGGCCCUACUGGGAAAGCCCACCCUACUAUGAAAAACCACUCUUUUUAUUAGGAUUACUGGCUAAAACCGUACAAGUAAGGUAGUUUGGUUGGGGCGACCGCCUUCGAAAAAGUAUCGAAGGCGCACAUAAGAUUAAUCAGGGGGGUUUUAGGCUCCAGGGGGUAAUGCCCCAAAAAAGAUUAGUUUGACUGAGAGGGCUACAACCCGAACAGGCGCUGAUCCAGGCUUGGUUUAUACCGAGACUACGCUCCCCCGUACGCGGGUCAUAGU
RNAcentral lists this ribosomal RNA (468 nucleotides) under Trichoplax sp. H3. RNAcentral describes it as "partial 16S ribosomal RNA". It matches the Rfam family "Bacterial large subunit ribosomal RNA", at positions 2034 to 2416 of the family's 2925-position model. Lineage: Eukaryota; Metazoa; Placozoa; Uniplacotomia; Trichoplacea; Trichoplacidae. The record is from RNAcentral.